GGUCAAGUUGUCAAGGGCGAACGGUGAAUGCCUUGGCACCAGGAGCCGAUGAAGGACGUGGGAGGCCGCGAUAGGCCUGGGGGAGCUGUCAACCAAGCUGUGAUCCCAGGGUGUCCGAAUGGGGAAACCCGGCACCAGUCAUGUGGUGUCACCUGCACCUGAACACAUAGGGUGUAUGGAGGGAACGCGGGGAAGUGAAACAUCUCAGUACCCGUAGGAAGAGAAAACAAAUUUAGUGAUUCCGUGAGUAGUGGCGAGCGAAAGCGGAUUGAGGCUAAACCGGCUGCGUGUGAUACCUGUCAGGGGUUGCGUGGUCGGGGUUGUGGGACCCCGCUGAACAAGCUGACACUUGUUCGAGGAGUUACAAAGUCAGUGGCUAGUCGAACAGUCUGGAAUGGCUGACCGUAGACGGUGAAAGUCCGGUAGGUGAAAGUUGCUGACCUUCUGUGGGUGUUCCCGAGUAGCGGCGGACCCCUGAAAUCUGCCGUGAAUCUGCCAGGACCACCUGGUAAGCCUAAAUACUUCCUGGUGACCGAUAGCGGAC
Molecule: ribosomal RNA, 544 nt
Filed under: Micromonospora sp. U56
Lineage: Bacteria; Bacillati; Actinomycetota; Actinomycetes; Micromonosporales; Micromonosporaceae
Description: partial 23S ribosomal RNA
Rfam family: Bacterial large subunit ribosomal RNA
Source: RNAcentral